This 694-nucleotide ribosomal RNA is filed under the name Streptomyces griseorubens. RNAcentral describes it as "bacterial SSU rRNA". It matches the Rfam family "Bacterial small subunit ribosomal RNA", at positions 72 to 781 of the family's 1533-position model. Lineage: Bacteria; Bacillati; Actinomycetota; Actinomycetes; Kitasatosporales; Streptomycetaceae. The record is from RNAcentral.
GAACCACUUCGGUGGGGAUUAGUGGCGAACGGGUGAGUAACACGUGGGCAAUCUGCCCUGCACUCUGGGACAAGCCCUGGAAACGGGGUCUAAUACCGGAUACUGACCCGCUUGGGCAUCCAAGCGGUUCGAAAGCUCCGGCGGUGCAGGAUGAGCCCGCGGCCUAUCAGCUUGUUGGUGAGGUAAUGGCUCACCAAGGCGACGACGGGUAGCCGGCCUGAGAGGGCGACCGGCCACACUGGGACUGAGACACGGCCCAGACUCCUACGGGAGGCAGCAGUGGGGAAUAUUGCACAAUGGGCGAAAGCCUGAUGCAGCGACGCCGCGUGAGGGAUGACGGCCUUCGGGUUGUAAACCUCUUUCAGCAGGGAAGAAGCGAAAGUGACGGUACCUGCAGAAGAAGCGCCGGCUAACUACGUGCCAGCAGCCGCGGUAAUACGUAGGGCGCGAGCGUUGUCCGGAAUUAUUGGGCGUAAAGAGCUCGUAGGCGGCUUGUCACGUCGGUUGUGAAAGCCCGGGGCUUAACCCCGGGUCUGCAGUCGAUACGGGCAGGCUAGAGUUCGGUAGGGGAGAUCGGAAUUCCUGGUGUAGCGGUGAAAUGCGCAGAUAUCAGGAGGAACACCGGUGGCGAAGGCGGAUCUCUGGGCCGAUACUGACGCUAAGGAGCGAAAGCGUGGGGAGCGAACAGGAUUAG